AUCAGCUACAUAGGGGAAAAUUGGAGCAAUAUACUGUAUUUUUCAGUCUAGAAGACACACUCCCCACCCCCAAAGAAGAUUUCCUCUGCUCUUCCUUAGCAGUGCCACAGGAAGGAUUUGUUUAGAUGUUCAAGCAGGAAAAUAAAGAGUCUUUCUCCAGUCCUUAGCUGUUUCUCAUCCAAAAAUCCAGGAAUUGCACAUCUGCUGGAAUAUUGUACCAGCUUUGUUGAAAUCUAGUGAUUUGGAAAAGCAGAGCAAGGGAAAAGGGACAGACUGUUUACAACUUACAACACAGAAGCACAUAAUUAUUCCAUGAGCAAUGGAUGACAUGCAGAGGGCUGAUGGAGAAUUCAGAGUCUGAAAAAAAGCAUGCAGUUGACAAUACUCUGCUAGCAACUGGCAUUUAUUUUCCUUUGCUGUUACAGUGUGCAAAUAGACAGCCAGAGAUAUUUCAUGAUUUGGGCUUCUAUAAUAAUGUCUCCAGGCAGAUCUUUGUGGGCUUACAGUAAACGUAGAUCUAUCUCUUUACUGUCAUAUAUUGCCACCAUGGUAAUGGCUCUACCCUGUAACACGUUAGGAAAUUGUA
This is a non-coding RNA of Pantherophis guttatus, 586 nucleotides long. Lineage: Eukaryota; Metazoa; Chordata; Lepidosauria; Squamata; Colubridae. The record is from RefSeq and is a predicted model, not a curated record.